UGGGGAAUAUUAGGACAAUGGGCGAAAGCCUGAUCCAGCAAUGCCGCGUGAGUGAUGAAGGCCUUAGGGUUGUAAAGCUCUUUUACCCGGGAUGAUAAUGACAGUACCGGGAGAAUAAGCCCCGGCUAACUCCGUGCCAGCAGCCGCGGUAAUAAU
RNAcentral lists this ribosomal RNA (156 nucleotides) under uncultured bacterium. Its description in RNAcentral is "partial 16S ribosomal RNA". It matches the Rfam family "Bacterial small subunit ribosomal RNA", at positions 355 to 526 of the family's 1533-position model. The record is from RNAcentral.